UUUGCCAAAGUUCUCUGCCAAAGUUGAGACACGUGAAGCUUGCAGCUCCCACUACAUCGCUCUGACCAAGAAGGGUAAAAGAAUAGCAAAGAAACAGCACUAACAAAGUUUAGACACAUAAAUUUUGAAGGUCUAGCUACCAUAUUAUUACCCACAAGGGUAAAGGAACAGUACCACUGCUGGAUAAUUGGAAAGUCCCUGUGUGUCAACCUCUGUGCUUCGUGGCAAGGUAGACUAGCAAACAUGCCCAACCUUUUACUCACAUUCGAGAAAACACUCCCAACAAGAUUGCUUGCUCCAAAAUCGAAGAGGCACCGUCCUCCGAAUCUCGAGAGCCAGACUCCCAACAUGACUACUUUCUCAAAAAUCGAAGAGAGGGUAAAGGAACAGUACCAUUGCUGGAUAAUUGGAAAGUCCCUGUGUGUCAACCUCUGUGCUUCGUGGAAAGGUAGACUAGCAAACAUGCCCAACCUUUACUUACAUUCGAGAAAACACUCCCAACAAGAUUGCUUGCUCCAAAAUCGAAGAGGCACCGCCCUCCGAAUCUCGAGAGCCAGACUCCCAACAUGAUUACUUUCUCAAAAAUCGAAGAGAC
Molecule: long non-coding RNA, 595 nt
Filed under: Malus domestica (apple)
Lineage: Eukaryota; Viridiplantae; Streptophyta; Magnoliopsida; Rosales; Rosaceae
Description: long non-coding RNA (MDOM_LNC001233)
Source: RNAcentral